UACCUGGUUUGACCUGCCAGUAGUCACACGCUCGUCUCAAAGAUUAAGCCAUGCAUGUGUAAGUUUACAUACUGAACUUUGAAACUGCGAAUGGCUCAUUAUAUCAGUUAUAGUUUAUUUGGUAGUCUCUUACUACUUGGAUACCCGUAGUAAUUCUAGAGCUAAUACAUGCGUCAACACCCGACUUUUGGAAGGGUGGUAUUUAUUAGAUUGAAACCAACUCGCUUCGGCGGUGUAAUGGUGAUUCAUAAUAACUUUGCGAAUCGCAUGGCUUCGGCUGGCGAUGGACCAUUCAAGUUUCUGCCCUAUCAGCUUUGACGGUAGUGUAUUGGACUACCGUGGCUUUAACGGGUAACGGAGGAUUAGGGUUUGAUUCCGGAGAGGAGCCUGAGAA
Molecule: ribosomal RNA, 394 nt
Filed under: Chaetoceros calcitrans
Lineage: Eukaryota; Bacillariophyta; Thalassiosirophyceae; Chaetocerotales; Chaetocerotaceae
Description: SSU rRNA
Rfam family: Eukaryotic small subunit ribosomal RNA
Source: RNAcentral